RNAcentral lists this unclassified non-coding RNA (667 nucleotides) under Hevea brasiliensis (rubber tree). Lineage: Eukaryota; Viridiplantae; Streptophyta; Magnoliopsida; Malpighiales; Euphorbiaceae. The record is from RNAcentral.
UAUUAUACCUGGAGGCGGAGGGGAGGAUGACGAGGAUGACAUAAAUCAGUUAUUCCUUCAUGUGGAUGUGUCAAAGCAUGGACAGCAAAAAUCUUUGCAUUUUCUUUGUGGUCUGUAUCCAGAUGCAUUAGGAAUUCACUCUGUUCAAUUGAGACCAAAGAUUGAUGACUCUGGGCUUCAUGAGGAUCCAUAUGGAUACAAUGGCCCUCAAUUUGGGGAACUUGAUGAAAAGAUGAGAGAUGCACUCCACAGUUACAUCGAAGAAAGAGGUGUGAAUGAGAGUCUCUUUAAUUUUCUCCAAGCAUGGCUAUAUGUGAAGGAGCAUCGGAACGUUAUGCGCUGGUUUAAAACAGUGGGGGGCUUCAUUAAUGAAAAUAAAUCAGCUAAAACUGUGUAACAGUGUUUUAAGGUGGGUUUAUAAAGGGGUUCAUGUACUGCUUCCUAGUUGGUGGUCUAUCUGCUUUUUGACUACCUGGCGAAUAUUAUGGGUUAAAUUAUAUUACUAUUUUCAAGUUAUAAAUGUUAGUAAUGUUUUAAUUUUCUGGUUCACAUUUAUGUGUUUACUUUUUUUUUUUUAAAAAAUCUCUGUAUUUAGCCAAGCGUAUUUUUCUUUAUAUGGGCAAUGAUGUGCUUUUUCCUCUAUCAUGUUCAAUACUGUUGUGAAAGG